This 431-nucleotide ribosomal RNA is filed under the name uncultured bacterium. RNAcentral's name for it is "partial 16S ribosomal RNA". It matches the Rfam family "Bacterial small subunit ribosomal RNA", at positions 338 to 795 of the family's 1533-position model. The record is from RNAcentral.
CCUACGGGUGGCAGCAGUCGAGAAUUUUUCUCAAUGGGGGAAACCCUGAAGGAGCGACGCCGCGUGGAGGAUGAAGGUCUUCGGAUUGUAAACUCCUGUCAUUCGAGAACUAGUAUCGAAAGAGGAAGGGACGGCUAACUCUGUGCCAGCAGCCGCGGUAAUACAGAGGUCCCGAGCGUUGUUCGGAUUCAUUGGGCGUAAAGGGUGCGUAGGCGGCAUGGCAAGUCGGGUGUGAAAUCCCGGGGCUCAACCCCGGAACUGCACUCGAUACUGCCGUGCUUGAGUGUUGGAGAGGAGACUGGAAUUUACGGUGUAGCAGUGAAAUGCGUAGAUAUCGUAAGGAAGACCGGUGGCGAAGGCUAGUCUCUGGACAAUCUGACGCUGAGGCACGAAGGCCAGGGGAGCAAACGGGAUUAGAUACCCUUGUAGUC